UCACGGUAGCCCACCAAGUAAGUAGAGGGAGGGAGAAGAGGACAAGGACCAGUAGUACUCCACUAGCUAGCGAGCUAGCUAGCUAGCUCGCCAGACUCCGCUCUCCACCGGAUGGAGAGGAGGACAGCAACAGGACUGUCUUGUCCGGUGCUCUUUCCCUCGUGCACUGCGGGAAAAAAGAGGGCGAAAGCAGCCAAAUGCUACUGCCAUGUGACGAAGGGCUCCUUGGAUGCGAGUGCCACGCCCAGAGGCAGCCUUGUCCUUUGCCUUGGCGGCUGCCAUGCCCCUUAACCAGCGUUAGAGGACAAUGGAGAGAGAGAGAGAGAGAGAGAGAGAGAGAG
RNAcentral lists this long non-coding RNA (341 nucleotides) under Musa acuminata (dwarf banana). Its description in RNAcentral is "long non-coding RNA (MACU_LNC004711)". Lineage: Eukaryota; Viridiplantae; Streptophyta; Magnoliopsida; Zingiberales; Musaceae. The record is from RNAcentral.